This 380-nucleotide ribosomal RNA is filed under the name Kluyvera georgiana. RNAcentral's name for it is "partial 16S rRNA". Lineage: Bacteria; Pseudomonadati; Pseudomonadota; Gammaproteobacteria; Enterobacterales; Enterobacteriaceae. The record is from RNAcentral.
GAGCCCGGGGAUUUCACAUCUGACUUAACAAACCGCCUGCGUGCGCUUUACGCCCAGUAAUUCCGAUUAACGCUUGCACCCUCCGUAUUACCGCGGCUGCUGGCACGGAGUUAGCCGGUGCUUCUUCUGCGAGUAACGUCAAUCGCUGCGGUUAUUAACCACAAUGCCUUCCUCCUCGCUGAAAGUACUUUACAACCCGAAGGCCUUCUUCAUACACGCGGCAUGGCUGCAUCAGGCUUGCGCCCAUUGUGCAAUAUUCCCCACUGCUGCCUCCCGUAGGAGUCUGGACCGUGUCUCAGUUCCAGUGUGGCUGGUCAUCCUCUCAGACCAGCUAGGGAUCGUCGCCUAGGUGAGCCGUUACCCCACCUACUAGCUAAUCC